Colossoma macropomum (tambaqui) is the source of this 307-nucleotide long non-coding RNA. RefSeq lists it as uncharacterized. The record is from RefSeq and is a predicted model, not a curated record. NCBI's taxonomy places the organism in Eukaryota, Metazoa, Chordata, Actinopteri, Characiformes, Serrasalmidae. The transcript is spliced from 4 exons.
GUGUGUGUGUGUGUGUGUGUGUGUGGAAAAAGUCCUCUACUGGUGAAGCAAUGUACAGUACUGUGAUUAAAAAAAAGAAAAAGCCUUCAUCUGCACUGGAUCAGGAAAAUGGUGUGAUCUACAGCUCUGUAGUCACAGCUACAAAAAACGACACUCUCUCUCCAGCAGGUGGAGAUGAUGGGGUGAUCUACAACUCUGUGGUCAGUAAUUAAGAGGUGUAAGCAGAUGAAUUUCUGGACAAACUACCUGAGCAGAGAGGACACUGUAAUACAAGUGACCUGUUAAAUGGAUAUAGACUAUAGAUUAU